AGAAAGUUUCCUGAUUCGCUUACCAUGGCUCGUCAUGGACCUCUUCUCGUUCUGCUGCUAGCCUUGACAGCCCUCAAUAACAGCUUCGCAGCUCGCCAUCUUUUGGACACAGAAGCUGCGCCAGAGGCCGCACCAGCUCAGCCAUCCACACCAGCAGUUCCAACCACACUGCCCCCAGUGCCUUCCAUACCAGCAGUUCCAACCACACUGCCUCCAGUUCCUUCCAUUCCGCUACCAGCGAUGCCAAAGAUGGCAAUCCCACCAAUUCCAUCCAUUCCCAUUCCAAAGGUCACCCUGCCACCAGCAGCCGC
RNAcentral lists this long non-coding RNA (311 nucleotides) under Setaria italica (foxtail millet). RNAcentral describes it as "long non-coding RNA (SITA_LNC004758)". The record is from RNAcentral. Lineage: Eukaryota; Viridiplantae; Streptophyta; Magnoliopsida; Poales; Poaceae.